RNAcentral lists this small RNA (323 nucleotides) under Pan troglodytes (chimpanzee). Its description in RNAcentral is "processed transcript". Lineage: Eukaryota; Metazoa; Chordata; Mammalia; Primates; Hominidae. The record is from RNAcentral.
UUAAAAGCAUAUUGGCAGAGGAAGAGCCCUGGCAUUCCAGCAGGAGCUAACAGGAAAAAGAACAUCAAUGGCAGUAGCCCUGACACAGCCACUUCUGGUGGUUACCACUCACCUGGGGAUUCAGCAACAGGUAUCUACGGGGAGGGCCGUGCAUCCUCUGCUACCCUGGAGGAUCUGGAGAGCCAGUACCAAGAACUAGCAGUGGCCCUGGAUUCAAGCUCCGCAAUAAUCAGUCAACUCACUGAAAACAUCAAUUCACCGGUUCGCACAUCUAAGGAGGAGAAGAAGCAUAAGACACAUCGGGUACAGAAGCUUGUGAGGAG